AAAACAAGCUGUUUUCUUUAGAAGCAAUAUCUUAUCUGAACUGUAAUUUGUUUUGUGGAAUGUCUGUAACACGUGCUUUAUGUAUACUUGAAUUACUUGUAUAUGGGAUGAAGGCCUUAAGUACAAUAAACAUCUUUGACUUGA
Long non-coding RNA from Haliotis rubra (blacklip abalone), 144 nucleotides. RefSeq lists it as uncharacterized. The transcript is spliced from 4 exons. The record is from RefSeq and is a predicted model, not a curated record. NCBI's taxonomy places the organism in Eukaryota, Metazoa, Mollusca, Gastropoda, Lepetellida, Haliotidae.